This 41617-nucleotide long non-coding RNA is filed under the name Setaria viridis. RNAcentral's name for it is "long non-coding RNA (SVIR_LNC004938)". Lineage: Eukaryota; Viridiplantae; Streptophyta; Magnoliopsida; Poales; Poaceae. The record is from RNAcentral.
AGAUAUGCGACAACCAGCGCAGUUCCACUUAUAUUAGGAUGAGUAAAUUGUGCAGCAAGAGGUGUGAGGGCUUGGCUUGUAUGAUCGAGCAAAGGCGAAGCUGAGCCCUCUUAGUACUAUUUCAAUACUAACAGCAUUGUCUUGCUGUACAAUUCAUAGUUUUCUUUGUCUCUUGUUUGAGUGUUUCAUCUUUCAACUAUUGCCAGCCUUCAUUCUGAAGUCAGAAUUCGGCAUUAGGGACUGCUCUUCCAUGCACUUGCAUGGAUGCCCUUUUGGGUAGCAGCAUCAAAUUAAGAGAAGAAUGUUUCCCUUUUUCUAAGAGUUGAUUCUUUUCUAAGAGUGUCAAUUUCACUUACAUGCAUGCCUUUUAGAAUUUGGGAAUGCCAUCUGUAAAUGGACCCAGUAUAUACAAAAUGGGUUGCUGAUGAGUGGCAAUGAUGAUCAGCCCUUUUUAAGGACAUGCCUUUGAUAAAUCGAGGCAGCUGUGGCGUCAAAUUUGACCUUGAACCUCUGUGUUGCAGCUUAUGCGAUCAUUCCUUGUUUGACCUUGAACCUCUCUCUCUGCCCUCCUUUCCUGGUGGUGAUGGCAACUAGGCAAGCCGUGGCCCCCUUCACACAUCAUCAUCAGGCCCUUUGCUGGUGACGAGCAUCCACCAGGUAUGCUCGCCCCUUCUCUUCCCUUCCUGUUGUGCUAAACAGAGCACCCCAAACCCUAAUGUAAGCUAUUUGUAUUCGGAUCUGAUCCAGUUACAAGUAUAUGUAUGUGUUAUACCUACAAGCUUUGAUUUUAUUUAUUUAUUUUUUGCAAAAAAAAGUCAGGUGUACAUGUGUACGCCCUUGUCCUAUACUUGGUCUGUCCUCCCCGCUCUUCAGCAGCCGCAAGCAGGGCAGUGGUGGCAGCAAGGGGUCGGAAUUGCAAGUCAGGCUUUUGUUUUAAGCACUUUCUGCUUGCAAUAUUUUUAUUUGACUUGGAAUUUUCAAUGCCCCUCUUGAAACAUCCCCUCAAUAAAAGAGAAAAAGGAUAAAAGAAAUCUCAAUCAAUGUUCACUCUACUUCCACUGCUGUAUGAUCUUCGUUUUUGUUUGUUCUACUCUUGAGUGGCUAUGAUGAUUCAUCUGUAGCAUUGUUUUAGCUGGUACCUGGGAUUUUUGUUCUAUUUGUUGCUUAACUAGGAUGGCUUGUACAUCAAGUAACCAGUUCUACAGCCAACUGCGGCAGCUGAUGGCUGUUACCGCUGAUACUGAUGACAGCUGGUGGCCCGUCUGAACUGACAUUGCUGUUUCAUUUAAGGGGAGAGAGAGAGAGAGCUUAGAUUGUGUUGCAGCUGAUAUGGUACCUAAUCUGCUAUUUGAUUUGAUUUCUUCAAACCUUUUGUUUUUUACUCUUUUGAGCUCUUAUCUACUUAUUUCUUUAUGCUCUUUUGCAAGUCCUGCAGUUGAUGCUCUACCAAUCCGCGAUUCUGUCUUGCGUUGCUGCCACUGAUCUCAAGGGUUGUUCUUCACUUCCCUUCCUGCUGGAUUCGAACCUGGGACCUGGGUCAAUAUUAUUGGGACUAAUAUGUCCAGUCAGUUCAAUCUCACGAGUGAGCUUUGGCUUCCUGCAAGAAUGAAUAAGAUAAAAUUCCAAUGAGGGGCAAUGAUCAGCAAUGAUGUCUGAUAUAAGCGCCUUUGAGGCAGGCUGCUCUGGGCAUCAAACUGGAAUCUUCCCUCUCUUGGAAACCUUAUCAACUAUGCGCUAAUGGCUUUGUCCUUGGAUGGUCAUGCCAUUCUUCAUGGGUGAUAACCAGGACAGCUCCUCUUUCAGAACAGGUUGAUAGGGUGGUAAGAGAAGGUGGGGAAUGCAGUUAUAUGAUUGAGCAAAGGCGAAGCUGAGCCCACUCAAAUGUUUUACUGCUACCCACAGUAUUUUAUGUGAUCGGUUUUUUGUUGAAUAUGUUGUUGCUUUGUGUUUUAUGUCUAACCUAUUUACCAACUUACUUUCUUUUUGCUGUAUUUGUAUAACUCCAUGCAGUUACCUUGCCAAUUGCGUUCAUUGGCAAGUUGUGACAUUUCUUAAUUUCUGCAGUUUAAUUCUGCUAUAUUUGUUUGCAGUAUCCUGCUGCAAUAUCAGUGGUUACAUUACCUGAAGAUACUUUCAGCUAGCUUAGUGCAUCUACAAAUUUCUUGCAAUAAUUUAUUGAGUUAUGUUGGACCUCCGUGAGUUUGGACUCUGGAGGCAUUGUGUUAUUGGGAAGUACUAACUUUGGUCAUCACAACUAUUAUAUCCAUGCUGCAUUGAUAGUGAUGCAAGUUAUAUAUAUUUUGGGUCAUUGGGUCAACCCAAAAAGUUGAUAAAAUGAACUAGAAUGGUAUUCCACGUAAAUAAUUUGGGAGGAUAAAUAAACUAGUGCCAUGCCAUCGUAAUUAAUUUGACCCAGAAAACGCUAUUGGGUACCCACUUGCAUUCCUUUUGUUUUUCGGAAUUUUUUUGUCACUUUUGUCUGUUGAUCUUUCUUUCUUCUUUUGUACUGUUCUUCCGUGGCUGUGAUGAUUGGAUGCCCCAUAAAAGUGUUGCUUUUUAGCAUCCCUGAAUUGUUGUUUGCUUGGGCAUUUUUCUCAAUUUACUGCAUUAACUAGGAUGGCUUGUACCAUAACAAGUAACCAGUUUUUGCAACUAAUUGUUGUCAUUGCUACUGCUGUGGCUGUGGUGAUGGUGGUGUUGGAGGAGAUCUAUCUAGGAAUGAAUGAUCCUACUUGAAAAGUUCAUUGUGUUGGUAUUGGGGCAGAUCUGAGCCAUUCAAGUGACAUUACUGUUUGUUCCAUCAUUCGCUCGUACAAAGUUAUAUUUCUCGUUUGCUGUCUACUUAUAUUCCUUAAUGUUAUCCAGUACUCUCCAGUGAGUGAUUUCAACUUGGGAUAUGGAUGAUGGCAAUGGGACUAACAUUUCAACUCCUGUCUCCCGUCUCGUAAAAUUUGUAAUGCAUUCAGGCUUGGGUAGAUUCCUUGUUUUGUUUGUUGGGAUGCCCCAGCUUACUUGGAUGAAUUGAUCAUUUUCUUUUGGGCGGGUGGGGAGAUUAUAUUGUGCUUCCACUGUAAGUUUUUUUUUUCCCAAACACACAGGAGGAGCUGCGUAUCACUAUAUGAAGAAAACUAACACUGUAAGUUGUCAUGCUGAUAGUGGGUAAAUUUGUGCCAUUUAAGUGACCUCUUUUUUCUUUAUUGGACCCUUGUUUGAAUAACCGCUUGAAUUUCCGGAGUCUUUCAAUGACAGAUCAUGUUGAGAUGUGUCAUGGAUUAACUUUGGAAUAGGUUUGGAAAUCUAAAACCGGCUAAAUCACCCUAUGAACUAUGCAAAAUCUUCUAGACAACCCCCUGGUGGAUUUGAAGGGUGGUUUUGCCGCUGUUGCAUCUUAUAUGGCAGCUAAGAUGCUCUUUGAAUUGCUUCGAACUUUUAUUCUGUUUGGUACUCUUUUGAGCUCUUAUCUGCUUAUUCCUUUAUGCUCUUUUGUAUGUCCUGUUGGUGCUCUACCAAUCUGUGAUUUUCUUGCAUUGCUGAACCUUAUCCCAAGGAGUGUUUGCCCUCCUCCUGAAUCUGAACCUGGGAUCUUGGUCAAUGUUAGUGGGACAGAAAGUUGAGUUAAUUCCACCUUACUAGUUCCUGCCUAAGUUUCCUUCAAGAGCGAAGAAGUGAAAUCCUCAAGGGGCGAUGAUCAACAACCAUGGCUGACACAAGCACCUUUGAGCAAUCGAGGCUAUUGCGGGUAUCAAACUGGAAUCCUCCCUCUCCUCUCUUGGAAACCUUUACAACUAUGAUCUAAUGAUAGUGGCUUUGUCCUUGGAUGGUCAUGCCAUUCUUUAUGUGUGAUAACUAGGGCAGCGCCACCUAUCAGAAUAGGUUGAUCUGGUGCAAUGUUAUACAGUCGUCCAACUAAUCGCGGCUAGUCGGGCUUAUCGCCCCCCUAGCAUCGAUAAGGACCAACGACUAGGCAUGAGCGACUAGAAAGUUAGUCAUCCGGUUAGUCGUCGCCUAAUCGUGAUUAGUCGUCUGAUUAGGCUUAAAAACGAUCAGGUUUGAGAGUUGAGACAUUGGGUUUUGGCUGGUGGGUGGUGGGCUACUUGGUUGGCAAUUAGGCCCAUUAGGCUACAGGUGCUACUGAGAGCCAAAAUCGCCCGCAAUGCGUCGCCGCUCGCCUACCCAAAAUCGCCUGGCACCAUCCAGCCACCCAGGAGGCCGCUGUCGUCGGGGAGCUGCCCAUGAGCUUCACGUGCCUAGGAGCUCCCCGUCUUCCCAGUUGGCUCGAAGCUUGCUGCCGCCCAGCCCUAGGAGGUCGCACCGUUCGUGAGCAAUCCACAACUUUAAGAUGAGCUCAUCCUCUGAUGGUACGUUUUGUGCUCUGAUCUGCUGCUCUUGCUUUUAUGCUUGCCCUGCUCUUGCUCUAAUCUCCUCAGCUGCUGCUCUGCUCUUGCUCUGCUCUCCUCUGCUGCUGCUCUAGUGCUUGCUCUGCUCCUGCUUCAAGUUGCCAACUGACCAUCAUUUGUGGUGUUGAUGCUUGCUGAAUACUAUGCACUAUAUAGUAUACAUAUCAUAUCGGUCCUUGUAUGUAUGGACGACUAGGACCGACUAGAACCGACUAAUCGGAUCUGAUCGACGACUAAUCGUGACUAAUCACCUUAUCGGUGCCAUGGCAACUAGGUCCGACUAGAUGACUGUAUAACAUUGAUCUGGUGAUAAGAGAUGAUGGGGAUACAGUUAUAUGAUGAGCAAAGGCGAAGCUGAGCCUACUCAAAUUUUAUUGCUACCAGCAGAUCGUUUUAUGGAGUUUCCUUCAUUUUUUAGUUGAAUAUAUUUUCGCUCAUUUUUAUUCUCUCCAAUUUUUUUUGUAAUACUUUUGGAGUUAUGUUUUAGGGUCCUGUACUCCUGUUGGAGCUGGGGUGAGUUUGGACUUUGGACUCUGGAUGCAUUGUGUUUUUGGCAGUUACCACGUUGGGGCCAUCUCAACUACUAAUACACAUGCAGUGUUGAUCCAUUUUGCCACUUUCCAUGCACUAUUUUGGGUUUUCAGAUUGUUUUCUGGUGUCACUUUUGUCUUGAUAUUCCUUUCUUGUUUUGCACUGUUUUUCAAUGGCUGUGAUGACUGAAUGCCCCAUAGAGCUAUUGCCUUUUAGCAGCCCUGAACGUAUGGAUAUUUUGCUCAAUUUGCUGCUGAACUAGGAUGGCUUGUACCAUGGAAAGUAACCAGUUUUGCAACUAAUUGUUGCCAUCGCUGCUGCAGUGGCUGUGGUGUCGUAAUGCAUAUUGGAAUGAACAAUCAUACUCAAAAAGGUUCAUUUAGCGCCGCCACCCCUCCUCGCCGCCGCCUGAGCGGCCCCCAGAAGCCCUCGUGGCUGCAAGGAAGGUGACGGUGGGGCUCCACCAUCCUCCUUUCCUUCCCACCCUCGCGCUCUUCUUGGUGGCACCCAUGGCGGAAGCGGCGGUCGCCGGUCAUCCGCGGUCGGAUUUGCGCCCUCAGCCGUCGGAUUCUCACCCUAGGCUGCUAGAUCCGCUUCCCUCGUGCCUUAGCGUGUUGGGAUUUCUGAUGGCGGUGGUGGGUCCGGCAAAGGUGGCGCCUCGGGGUCGUACUCUCCGCCUGCGGCCUCAUCCUCCUGCGGGCAGCUCCCCCUGACCCCCCUCUCGACCAUUGAGGUGAGGUGCGUGGGUGACCCCCCUCUCGACCAUUGAGGUGAGGUGCGUGGGUGUUGAUUUCACGGAGUGCUCAGUCGUGGUGUCUGUGGGCUCACGGUGCUGCUGCAGCGGCGGAGAGCAACGCGGGGGUUGACGGCGCCAAAAUGGCGCCCUAGCCUGUGCGUAGGCGGAACGACGCGAGGCCGCAGCACUCGGUCGCUCUUUGGCUCGGCCACUAUGUACCGUUGGUGCCUCGGCUGGGCCAUGGUGUUGCCGCCAUCUACGGCGCCUGCGGCUCGACUACGGCGGCGUCGACGACUGGUGCUGCACCGCCGGCAGCCUCGUCCACGAUCGGCGGAGCUUUGGCUGCCACGGUCGCGUCUGCGAUUCGGUUGUGGCGGCGUCGGCGGCCGGUGCGGGCAUGGUUGCGACUGUGACUAGCCGUGGCGGCGCAUGCAGCCAGCGCGCCCCAAUGAUGCCGGCGAUGUCUUGGGUGGAUGGCCUACAGUGGGUGCUGGGCGAAAGCUCUACCUAGCAUAAUGCUAGGCCCGAUGACGGUGAUGCCUUGGGGCACCAUCUUCCUUCUUGAAGGCGUUGUCGUAGCACCACUUGCUCCAAUUCCACUCAGGGGGGAGUGAAAACCUAUUUUCAAUCUUCCAAUUUAGUGAUGGCGAUGUGUGUUUGACGUCGUCCCUUGACGAAGGCAUCACUUUGGAGAUACCCUUGAAGGCAUCGCUUUGGAGAUACCCUCCUGCCACUUCUCAGGACCACCCAUGGUGAUGCUCAUCCUCCUUCCACACCAUCCAUACAUACACUUCUUCCAUCGGUGGACAAUGGUUGUCGACUUCUAUCGUGAUUCGGUGACUGUUCCCUAGCACCUCUGCUCCGUUAGUGCUCUCCUUGUUGAUGGUGCCAUCAAAUCUUAUGCCGCCAUCAAAUCUUAUGCCGGGUAGUUCCACCUCUACUACCAUUCCUCUCGAGGUUUCCUCCCCUUGUACGUCGUUGGGUGGCGGUACGUGGAUCCCGGAUGUGCGACAAAUGUGGCGGUACGUGGAGCCCGGAUGUGCGGCAAAUGUGGCGGUACGUGGAGCCCGGAUGUGCGGCAAAUGGUGUUAGUCUCCUUCAAGGGAGGUCCCCGUGUCCAGCGUGUUUUGGUUUGCGUGCCUCCUGCCACCUUUAGUCCCCAUUUCGUUGGCCUAGCUCUCUACGCGUUUUGGUUUGCGUGCCUCCUGCCACCUUUAGUCCCCAUUUCAUUGGCCUGGCUCUCUAAUAGAGGGUGACAAUGGAGCGGUGGCUCUCUAAUAGAGGGUGACAAUGGAGCGGUGUAGUUAAAGGGGUGGAUUGGAUGUGCAAUAUCCAUGAUGUACCUGGCGAGCAUGUUGUUCAUUGGAGACUCAAAUCGGCGAUUGAUGGUUCUUCAGCCUAAAUCAUGGCCUUUCACCUGGCGAGCAUGUUGUUCAUUGGAGACUCAAAUCGGCGAUCGAUUGUUCUUCAGCCUAAAUCAUGGCCUUUCACUUGAGGUGUCUGUAUUGUGUUUCUACGUAUGUUGUACUCUGGUUGUAAACCUCUCAUGUUUUUCUCUUGCUAAAAAUUAAGACCGGUUUUGGCCUACCUGAGGCUCCAUAAUGAAAUUUAGGUAGGGAUUCUCUCCCCCUCAUGACCCUUCAAAAAAGUUCAUUUAGAGAGGGAAGGAGGGUAGGAAACAUUGUGUUGACAUUAAGGGCAGAUGUGAGCCAUCCAAGUGACUUUGGCUCAAAGUGACUUCUGUUCCGUUCGUUGUUUCCUACUUCAGCUUCAGUUAUAAUUCUCUCCUGUUCUCUAUCUACUUAUUCGUUCUUGCUAUCCAUUAUUCUCCGAUCAUUUCAACACGAGUCUUGGUUCAUGGUAAUGCAAUAAUGGGACUAACAUGUCAACUCUUGGUCUCAUCGUAGUUUCCUUGUUUUGUUUGUUGGGAUGCGCCACCAGCUUACUUUGACAAGUCUUUUCUUUCCUGCAGGCUCUCAUAUUUAGCUUACUGGUUUUUCAAUUUUAAUGAACGAUCUGAUCACCAAUUGAUCUAGUUGAAAUUGUAGAGUGAUGUAAGUUUGAGCAAAUUGUUGGAUUCUUACAAAAUAGUAAGCUGGAUUGUACAAACUAGGAUCAAAAUUUGUUUAUUUGUUUUUAUUCUACUUGUAAAAGUUGAUUCCACAAUCAUAUAGGCCCUUAAGGCCUUAAUAAAGCAACAAAUUUGUCCAAAGAAACUAUUAUGUUUUGGCUCAACCUAGCACUUAGAUUUUCGUUCUAUUAUUUCAGCAGAUCAGGUGGCCAUCCAUCUUCUCUCCUACUUAACGCUAUCAUUGCCUUCCACUGUGAUGCACUAUUGGUUACUAUUGCUCGUCGGUGUCCCCUCUAUGGCCAUUGGUUUUUUUGGGUUGCUUCACCUCACUCUCACGCUAGCCCCUACUUCGGCCUUUCUUCGCCGGCUUCGACUGUCAGAAUCUAUACACCUUUCUGUCAUCUAGUCCUGCUAAUUGGGCUGGAAUCCAAGCUAUAAUCAUACCCAUCCAUUCCCAGGAGGGAAAUAAAUACAACCCACCCAAAUCCAUACCUUUGCCACUACACACCGUACCACCCUAAUCUUUUUAAUGUUUAUUAAGGAAACAAACUCUGGACCAACUAUGAUUUCAACACAUUAAACCCAUUAAGAAUCUGUUAGCUAGCUAGUAACCAAACUCCAUCUUCUUUGAGAUCAAUGUAGAUGUAUCUUGGAUUCCUCGAGAAAAACCCUGUGGUAAAAAUCUAAGGAAUAUGUAUGUACAAAUACGCUAUAAGAACUCCUUUAAACCUUAUAGGAAAGUAAGGAGAAAAUAGCAUAUAUGAGUGUGAUUUAAAUAAAUCACCAUGUCAUUGGUAUCCCAUUAAAAAUCUAGUGGGAAAAAUAUUGGAGAUACGACAUCUAGAUUACCCCUCAAAACAUUUCAGGAAAAAUAUGAGUAAUAUAAAUUGAUAUGUUGCUAAAACUCCUGUAAAACCCAAUGGGAAAAUUAGGAGAAAAUAUGACAACAUAUUAUUGGUAUUGCCUCUUGAUAACUUACAUGAAAAACCUUUUAAGGGAAAAAUUAUGGAUAAAUUUGUGUCUUUGAUAGUUUCCAAAAAACCCCCGGUGGGAAAAAUAGGAAAUAAGACACAUGCUUAUGUUCAUAUUACCUCGUUAAAAACUUUAACAAGAAACCUUGUGAGUAAAACUGGUGAAAGAAAAAAGUUUAAUAUGAUGCUGGUACAGGUUAAUAUUUAGGAGAUAUCUCCUCUGAUUCUGGCAAAUCUCGAAGUCGCCGCAUACCAAUUCCAUGUACCAAUUUUUGAAAUACAGAAGUUUGUAAGGACUUAGUAAAUAGAUCAGCGAGAUUAUCAUAUGACUUGAUUUGCAAGAUGUUUAUUUCCCCGCUUCCUUGUAAUUCAUGGGGAUAAAACAGUUUAGGAACAAAAUGCUUAGUGAUAUUGCUCUUUAUAUAACUUGUUUGCAUCUGUGUAAUACAAGCGGACAAGCGGAAUUAUCUUCAUAGAUAAUUGUAGGUGACUCAAUUGAACCAAUACCACAUGAUUGUUGUAUGUGGUUAAUCAUUCUGCGAAGUCAUAUAUAUUCUCGUGAUGCCUCGUAUAGAGCAAUAGUUUUAAAAUAAUUAGUAGAGGUCGCUGUCAUAGUCUGCUUAGAAGACUUCCAUGAAAUAGCUGUACCUACUGUAGGAAUACAAAUCGUGUUUUGGGAUUUUCCAUUAUGAGGAUCAGAUAAGUAACUAGGAUCAGUAUAACCAAUCAUACUGGGAUUAUGAUUUUUCUUGAAAAAUAGACCAAGAUGUUUUGUACCAUUAAGGUAUCUGAGGAUACACUUCGCUCCCGUCCAAUGACGGCGAGUUGGGUUUGCACUAUGCCUAGCCAGUAAGUUCACUGCAAAUGCGAUAUCAGGCCUAGUGCAAUUUGCAAGAUAUAUAAGUGCGUCAAUGACACUGAGAUAUGGGAUUUCUGGUCCCAACAUCUUUUCCCCAAUAUCCCGUGAUCUAAAUGGAUCUUUCCCUACUUCUAAGGAACGAACAACCAUUGGAGUUUUAUUGUGUAUGAUUUAUCCAUAUUAAAUUUCUCCAAUAUUUUCUGGAUAUAGGCUAAUUGAUGCACUAAAAUCCCUUAAGGAGGGUGCUCAAAUUGUAAGCCUAGACAAUACUUGGUCUUACCCAAAUUCUUCAUCUCAAAUUCCAUCUUUAGAUGUUUGUGUGCUUCUUCUAUAUCCUUAGGGCUGCCAAUGAUAUUUAAAUCAUCAACAUACAUGAAUCUUUACCUAUUAUUAAAGCAAGUAACGCCUCUGCCUGAUUUUUCGUCCGUCGUGGUCAUUUUGCAAAAAAACCCCUGACGUUUCAUGUAAUCAACCCGCAGUCCACUUUUGAAGAGACGGGGGGCUCGGUUGCUAAAAAGUGGAAAGGGAGGGUGUUAAAGGUGAAAGAGCUUCUCUUAGAAACAGACAUCCCAGUGCCCGUAUCCGCCUUCCCCCUCCCUCCCCUUUCGCCGGCCAUCUUCGGGGGAGGAUGUAACGCACGCCGCCCCCCGCCCCCCGACCCGCCUGCUUCACCCACGGAUCUGCGCCGUCGCCGAUCCGAUGGCUCCAUCGCUCCCCCCUCUCGCCCCUCCUCCGUCCCCUUCCGCCGCCCAUCUUGUUAUUAAUUAGUACACAGACCCGUGGAUCCCGUCCGGCAACCUCGAGCACACGCUGCACAGGUCCAGGGAUUCGGCGGGGCGCGUCGUGGAGCGGAUGCAGCACACGCUGACCGCCGCGCGGGUGCUCUGGAAGUCGCUCCUGUCCGUGCUCUCGUCGGCCAACCAGGAGGUGCGGUCCGGGUUCGAGUUGCGGGUGGCCGCGCUGCUCGACGACAUCACCGCCGCCAGCGUCGCGCGGCGGGCCGCCAUUGUCUCCGCGGGCGGAGGUGCCGUCGUCGACUGGCUGCUCGACAGCGUCAUGCGGGGGGCCACGCAGGCCGAGGCUGCCAGGGCCCUCGCGCACCUGGUGGCUGACCCCCUGGGUCGCGCCCGCCGUUCUCGGGCGCCCGCGCGCGGUUCCCUGCCUCCUCCAGUUCAUCUUCUCGUACCAGCCCACGCGCGGCAAGAAGGUAAUGACGGGUCUUCAACCUGUUUUUUCGGCUUUGGUUGAUUGCUGUAAUGUGGUUUGGUACAAGCUUGCAAUAGUUUAAUUCCACAGAAGUAUUCAGAUGUUGAGUGAGUAUAGCUUGUGGCCUAGCUUAUGAUCAUACUCAGGUGUACUUCAGUUUACGAGAAGCAGCAGCCAAAUUUUUUAAUGUUCUGGGCUCUUGCUUUUUUUGAGAUACAAUUAGUUCGUUGUACCUAACAUAUUUUCUUUUUUGAGACAGAAAUCUUCAUUCGAUGGUUCAGAUCAUUCUUAAGGGAGGAGCAUGCUUGUGGCUGCACUUAUGGAUAUCAUCACUUCAAACUGUGAUAAUGCAGACUACUCGUCGUUUCAGCCUUUGCUGCCUGCAGAUGUUGAUACAAGAGACAUUAUUUAUAUAGAUAAUACAUGUAAUGUUUAAGAUCACCCGUAGCAACGCACGGGCAUGUUUGCUAGUAUAAUACAAAAUCCCGUUCGAGAUUUCUUAAUGAGAACACAUGGGCAAACAUCAUUGUUAGUGUGUCCUUUCUUUAGAAGGAAUUCACUCAGUCGGUUGUACCACAUUUAUCCUGACUGCUUGAAGCCAUAUAAUGACUUUUGUAGUUUUACACAAUACAUGUUGCGAUUUGCGUUUGAUUCGGAAUUUGGAUUCCAUCGGGAACCUUCAUGUAUAUGUUUGAAUCAAGUGAUCCAUAUAGAUAUGCUGUCACCACAUCCAUUAACUGCAUAGAUAGAUGAUUUUGAACUGCCAAUGAUAUUAAGUAUCGAAGAGUAAUUCCACUCAUUACUAGAGAAUAAGUUUCAUUGUAAUCAAUGCCAGGUCUCUGCGUGAACCCUUGUGCUACUAAUCUCGCUUUAUAUCUCACCACCUCAUUGUUCUCAUUCCGUUUUCGAAUGAAAACCCAUUUAAAGCCUACAGGAAGGACUUUGGAAGGUGUCGGACAUCCCUAGCGAGGCCAGCCGGAACAUCAUUGAUCCCUCUCCUCACCGUCCGAGGAGGGAUCCCACUCGACCGUCCAACCCGGAGGGAGCUGGGGUGGCCAAGUGCCAGCAGGAGAAGGGUCGGGAGCAGCAACAACACCUGAAAAACAGGAGCCACAACAAGGCUGAGCUACUAAGCUCAACAAGACUUAACCGACAGGAGUAAGGCUACUCCACACUUCUAGACAUGCAAGGCUUUAUGGCUGAGGGGUUUGUUUGCCAAAAGCACUAAGUAAAACCCUAUUUUCAAGUUUUAGCUCCGGUUCUAAGUUCAUUAACCGGUCUAGGUUUUGCACCCUAUUCUAAGCAAUCAUAGAACCAAAACAAGGUAUGUAUAUAUGUCAACAAAACCAUGUCAUCAUCAGAUUCCUCAUUUACUCAGGGUGACAUAGCGAUCAAGCAGUCUCAAACUGUGAGAGGCAGACGAAUCGAUUCGAGUUCUUUAACCAUGCAUGGUGAACCUAACCUCACGACAUCCGCGCACCCAGAGGUCGCUUCCUGUGUCGGCCUUCCCCAUCAAUCCCCUAACCCGUGUCGGGCCCAUUUACUUUGGUGCAAGGUUUCACAGACCCGGCCUCUACCGUUCUGUGACCACGCUUGCCACCACGUGCGACAACCAGCAGGGGAAACUCCGUUCCAAGAACAAUGGGGCGACCGCUCACGUCUAGGUUCAAUCCGGUACUAGGCUUCCUCAUCCCAUACUAAGUAUGAAGUUUGCCCCUAAUGCCGGGAAAUGGUCCUCAUUAAUAUAUGCAGUCGACGUAUCGGGUCGCGAAUAAGUCCCCUGUAAGAGGCUCGAGGUAUUUGAUAAUUGAUGGAGAUUGAUAUCCCACAUAGAUACCAAGUUUCCUAUGUGGGCCCAUAGAAGUACGCUUAGGCAAUGAGAUCGGUACGUAUACAACGCAACCGAAUUUUCACAGAUAGGAAAUAUUUGGCAUAUUCCCACGUACUAAUUGCAAUGGGGACUGCAUGAUACGCAGUUGGUCGCAAUUGUAUUAAGUCAGCAGCGUGUAAGACUGCAUGACCCCAACUUGAGGUUGGUAGGUUGCAAUUUUGUAAUAACAGUCGUGCAAUGGGUUUAAUUCUUUUAAUAAGAGAUUUUGCUAAACCAUUUUGUGUAUGGACAUAUGGGACAGAGUGCUGAACUUGAAUUCCCAAAGCCAUACAAUAAUCGUUGAAAGCUUUUGAGGAAAAUUCAGCAGCAUUGUCCAUUCGAAUUGAUUGAAUUUGAUGUUCAGGAUUAUGUGCUCUAAGUCUAAUAACUUGAGCAAUAAUUUUUGCAAAUGCAUGGUUACGAGUGGAUAAAAGACACACAUGAGACCAUCUAGUAGAUGCAUCUAUUAGAACCAUGAAGUACCUGCACGGUCCAGACAGUGGUUGUAUAGGGCCACAAAUAUCUCCUUGAAUACGUUCAAGAAAUUUUAGUGGCUCAUUUGAAUCUUAGCGGUCGAUGGCUGUACGAUCAAUUUUCCUGUAGCGCAUGAAGUGCACAUAAAAUCUGAAGAUUUAGGGAAUUUAGCAGUAUUUAACUCAUGACCAUUAGAAUUGCUGAUAAUUUUUUGCAUCAUCCCCAUACUAGGAUGGCCAAGGCGAUCAUGCCAAGUUUUGAAUGCGUCAAUAUUCGGAAAAAUUACCUUAUGCGCAACAUGUGGUACGGGUUUAAUGUAUGUAUAGUACAAUCCGGAUGAAAAAGAGGGAUUUUUUUCAAUAAUUUGUUUGCUAUAUCCGCUAUUUUUAGUAAUGAGGAGAAUUUCCUCAUUAUUGUCAUCACAUGUUUCUAUAUGAAAACCAUUUUGACGGAUAUCUCUAUAACUUAACAAGUUACGCUUUGAGUCAGGAUAGAAUAAUGCAUCCUCAAUUGUAAUUUGGGUACCCAUGGGGAGUACAACAGUGGCACUAUCAGAGCCAAUUAUUGUAGCAUCGCGUCCUGCGACUGUCAAAACAUUUCCUUGUCUUUUUGUAAGAGUUUGGAAAUACUUUGUUUCUCUAAGUAUAGAAUUAGUGGUACCACUAUCCACGAGGCAUAAUUCCUCCUCCAUCAGAUUGACCCCCAUAGGAACGUGGGUUGUUUAGGAGCAUUCGCAUGUUAGUUGUUCUCUAUUCACGAGCGCGUUGAUAACGUGUUGAAUGUGAAUGUAAAAUGAACAGAGAUUUGGGAACUCCUUUGUGUUUAUUGAUCUCUUUGGAUUAUAUACAAGUGAACAGCCGCGUUGUAUGGACGUGACUGUUCGGGAAAAGGUAACUGUUCAAUGGAACAAUCUACUAACGAAGGGACAUGUCCUUCGUAGUGCUAACUGCUUAUACUAACUAACUGCUAAUUCUCUUCCUCUGUUGAUGAGAUCACUGAGUAUAGAGAGGUGUCUGUUAGGAACAGACACACCGUUUCGUAACACAAACCAUGUUGGCGGAUGAUUGCCCGCUGAAGCCGCUAUAAGAAGACAAAUGACCAUAAUCACAUAAAUAAUCAAAAUACAUAAAAGAAAAUAGAGAAGGAAGAAAAUUGCAGCAUAUUCAGUUACAAAUAUAGACAAUGUUAUAAAUCUUGAAGUCUCAAUGACACGAAUUAUUACAAAUUAGUUCCAUCCACCAUGUUAUCCAGAAGAGGUCAAAUUAAACUACUACUAGGAAUGUCAAUUUACGACAAUACUGAAUUGCUGAAGCUAUCUGACAGAAAUGUCAUCUCCUUCAGUUGCGUCAAGAUGUGCUCCAUAUACUCCCGCUGCCAGUUAGACUCACGAUAUCUGGAACUUCUUCCCAUGCCCAUAAGUUCGAAUGCAUUCCAUAGAAACAAUCUCAUCAACCACCAUGAACCUUAUAUGUUCGAUCAAAGCCACUCGUGAACUGGUAAAUAAUCUGCAUAUGUCCUAAAUUUGUGCAGCUAUUUUUUGCCAAUGGUUAGGUAAAAGUUAGAAUUCAAGCAGCUAUCAGUGUGCAUCUGAAAGUUAGCUGGCAGUAGAUGUUGACUCGAUGCAAGUUUACCAUCUGGAUGUCAACUGAGACCUUGCCAUGGAAUUGACAGGCUUGGGAUGUGCAAAUGAACCAGAAGCUCAAAGAUGAAAUUUUCAGUCAAGAACUCAAGAUACUAUCAUCACAUUAUGCAACUACAAACUAUGGAGCUGCAACUUAUCACUACAAUAGAAAAGGCACUGAAUAGAAGGUCCUGUGUAACAAGAUAAAAUUGACUGAUCUUGCAACUACACACAAGAUGCCGAAUGAGAACAGAUACACGAGAACAGAAAGACUUUUGGAACAUCUUCUUUGACAAAAAUUAAUUUCUGGAACAUUCAACAAACACUUGACAUUGCCAUUUGCCAAUGUAACUCUUAGCUCUGAUAUCACAUAUUCUUAUUAAAAUUUGCUUAAGAUGUACUCCCUCCGUCCCAAAAAGAAUGAUUUUCGGGGAUUUUUCAGAUAGAUUAGGGGUGAAUGAAAAAGACGCAUGCACCCUUUGUUAGUUCAGUUUGCAUAUAGAAAAUGGAGAAAAUAUGUUUCCAUUUAAUGGUGCAUGUACCAUAUCAAUGCCACAAAUUAUGCAUGCAUAAGAUUCAAAUCCUAGAACGUCAUUCUUUUUGACAAUUUUUGAAUACUAAAACAUCAUUCUUUUUGGGACGGAGGGAAUAGUCGGUUAAAAAAGCAAGAUCCUGAAUCUUCAAAGUCAAUGGCAGAUUGGCAGUGUGGUAGUACUUAUUUCAACCAACCAAACAUCUCAAUCAAUCAAGAAAUCAUAAUGACAAGAUACCACCAUAACAAUAUAUAGGAAUUAUGCAUCAAGAAUUCUUACAACAACAACAUAGCCUUUCAGUUCCAAGCAAGUUGGGGUAGGCUAGAGUUGAAACCCAACAAGAGUCACAAAUCAGGGUUUGAGCACAUGAAUAGCUGUUUUCCAAGCACUCCUAUCUAGGGCUAAAUCUUUGGGUAUAUUCUAUCCCUUCAAAUCUCCUUUUAUUGCUUCUUCCCAUGUCAAUUUUGGUCUUCCUCGCCUCUCUUCACAUUACUAUCACGCCUUAGGGUUCCACUACACACUAGUGCCUCCGGAGACCUAUGUUGGACAUGUCCAAACCUUCUCAGCCGGUGUUGGAUAAGUUUUUCUUCAAUUGGUGCUACCCUUAAUCUAUCACAUAUAUCCUCGUUCCGGACUCGAUCCCUUCUCGUAUGACCACAAAUUCAACACAACAUACGUAUUUUCGCAAUAUUUAUCUAUUGGACACAUCAUCUUUUUGUAGGCCAACAUUAUGCACCAUACAACAUUGCAGGUCUAAUCAUCUUCAUAUAAAACUUGCCUUUUAGCUUCAAUGGUACCCUCUUGUCAUAUAAAAUUAUCCGAUAUGGUGUCGCUAAGAGGGUUACACCCCAACGGAUUUCUCUUGGGUUUCAUCUCCAUUAGAAUGGCUAGGUUAAACGUUGGCUCGCCAAGCCUAUCAUAACCCUCCUCCUUUACCAGGGCUUAGGACCUGCUAUGUUGAGACAACAUAGGCGGAGUUGCAGCAAGAAUUCUUACUGGUAAGAAAAAUUAAGGCACCAUACCUAAAUACUAUGAAUUACAUGCUAACACAAACAAUGUCCGCAGGUUAGAAUUGUAAGUUAGAAUUAACAAUGAAACAUAAAUAGUUGUAAGAUUAGAUUAAGCAAGGACGCAUUCCGCAGGUUGAAAAGAGCAAGCAAGCACGCAUGUGAAAACUGGAACUGAAAGAGGCAGGUGGGAGCGUUACGGCCCAAACAUUAGUGAUGCAGUCCUUCAUGUCGCUGCGGCGGCAGUCCCAGCAGAGCUCCUCGAUGGCCAGGAGCCGGCAACAGAGGUCGGCCAUGUUACACAAUCGCACUCCAUCAGGAAGACGCACUCGCGGAGGGUUUCUUCUCCUCCAGCAUCACUGUGCGCCUUCUUGUCCUCCUCGUCAUCCUCGCCUGGGGCUGGCAGCUGGACCAUCUAGAUGUGGUUGAUGUCAUGAUCCAGGCAGCGCUCCACCUCAACGUUCUCCUCCAUGUUGCAUUGUUGCUAUCACCGGAGCCGGAGUCAUCCUCGCUGGCGGCGCCCUCAGCGUCGGCUCGGAGGUGGUGUGGCGGAUCCACUUCGGAUCUACUUGGUUAAACAUGAUUUAGCCGCCUGAUACGCGACGCUCAUGCCUAAGCCGAGUAAGCACGAAGUGCCGUCGGAUUUCCUCCGAUUUAACCACUUAAACAGGACCAUUUUAGCAUACCCACACGAAGGUGAGCGGUUCCAGAGAGUACAACGAGUCCACCGAGUUAAUAACUUAACCACUUAGUUUGAUUAUGAAAUAAACAUCAGAGUUUACAAGGUUUUCAGAAGGCAACGGAGAGUAAAACCACUAGUGGAAGCAACGUCGGGGUCGGACAUCCCUGGCGAGGCCAGCCGGAACAUCACUGAUCCCUCUCCUCGCCGUUCGAGGAGGGAUCCCACUCGACCGUCCAACCCGGAGGGUGCUGGGGCGGCCAAGUGCCAGCAGGAGAAGGGUCGGGAGCAGCAACAACACCUGAAAAACAGGAGCCACAACAAGGCUGAGCUACUAAGCUCAACAAGACUUAACCGACAGGAGUAAGGCUACUCCACACUUCUAGACAUGCAAGGCUUUAUGGCUGAGGGGUUUGUUUGCCAAAAGCACUAAGUAAAACCCUAUUUUCAAGUUUUAGCUCCGGUUCUAAGUUCAUUAACCGGUCUAGGUUUUGCACCCUAUUCUAAGCAAUCAUAGAACCAAAACAAGGUAUGUAUAUAUGUCAACAAAACCAUGUCAUCAUCAGAUUCCUCAUUUACUCAGGGUGACAUAGCGAUCAAGCAGUCUCAAACUGUGAGAGGCAGACGAAUCGAUUCGAGUUCUUUAACCAUGCAUGGUGAACCUAACCUCACGACAUCCGCGCACCCAGAGGUCGCUUCCUGUGUCGGCCUUCCCCAUCAAUCCCCUAACCCGUGUCGGGCCCAUUUACUUUGGUGCAAGGUUUCACAGACCCGGCCUCUACCGUUCUGUGACCACGCUUGCCACCACGUGCGACAACCAGCAGGGGAAACUCCGUUCCAAGAACAAUGGGGCGACCGCUCACGUCUAGGUUCAAUCCGGUACUAGGCUUCCUCAUCCCAUACUAAGUAUGAGGUUAGUACUUUCAAACACUUGAUCACGAACACCACCACUGUCGGGCCUUAGCAAGUUUUCAUAGACAGACGGGGCGAUCAUCCGACCACCAAAGAGUUACCCAAACCCUGCCCCGUCCAUCAUCCUUACAGUUGUAACAGAAAGGUAGACAUCCAACUCCUACAACUCGCGAGUGACAGGGAAUCACUCGGCUUUUACCGUCUCCUAGUUAAGCAAGCAAGCAGCUACCCGGUCCAACAGCUAGUGUUCAGAUCAUGGGAGCUAAGAUAUGCAUCUAGGGUUCCAAACAACUCCUAUACGUAAAUGCACAAGCAUGUUACAGAAGGCAUGCGCAAGUCUGGUAAAACAACACAGAGUUUUCAUGCAACCGGGGCUUGCCUUCGAGCAAGGAGGAAAAGAACUGCUCGACUUCGGGGGCGACUUCGGCUUCUGGGGGUAGGAGCUCAGCUACACCGUCGUCUUCUGGCGUCGGGUGCAGCUCGUAGAAGCCGUCGGCGAGGCGCAGCUCUACACGAAUGCAAUGUAUUAGUUAGCAUAGACGGUUAUUUCAAUAGCAACACUUGCAAGUCUGAGCCCAGAAACUUGCGACAAAGAGCAGGAGGGUGGGCAGGUUCAAGGGAGCUGGUGGAGAUCAAAGGUAAGGGUUGGGAAGAAACUUAUGAUCUGAUCCUUAAACUAGAGGAUGUGGUAUACUAGGGAUCCUCAGACGCAAGCGCUGAAGGGUUCCUAAGUUUUGCACAUACACCCUCGGUUGAAGAAAAGAUCACAGCAGAGCCCUCGAGUGAGGCGGAUAGGGGUCGGCGGAACAAAUAGGGUCGGGCGAGACGGAACCGGGGUCGGGCGGAUAAGAGGGGUCGGGCAAAGCGGACUGGGGUCGGCAGCUUACCUUCUUCCUACAAGGAAAGCUUGGGGUCGGGAAGAAACAGACUUGGGCGGAGGGGCUAAGGCUUUGAAUCGGCGGCGAGGUCCGGCAGUGCUCCAGUGGCGGCGGUGCUUCUUGUGGAUCACAAGUGAGCUCUUACGGAGCACGGAGGAGCAAGCAGCUGGGUGGCUUAGGGAAAACGGAGUGGAGCAGAGAGGAGAGUUCCUCAAGAACUUAGCGGGUGGCGCUAGGAGCUUGAGUAGGGAGCAAGAGAAAUGGCGGAAGGCAGCAAUGGCGGAGGGAACUCCGGCGGGGCUCGUGCAUUCCCUUUUAUAGCGGCCGGGAAGGGAGAAAGGAAGCGGCGCGGGAGAGAGAAGGGGAGCGGCGCGAAGGCCGGGGAAGAAGCAAUGGAUUGCUCUGCCGGGGCGGCAAUUGAGCGACGAGGGCGGUGGUGCAGGACUUCGGGGAUGACGUCAGCGGUCAUUGGGCUCUGGUGUCAGGGCGGCGUAGGAGCGGGUAUGCCGGUGGUUGAGAUUUGGUGGAGGCGGACGUCGUCGUGCGGUAGAUUUGAUGGAAGUGACCGGGUUAACGACGCUAGAAUCGAGGGCGCACAGGUGAGAAGACAGGCAGCCGCGGGCGCGCGGGCGAGUGCGGAGCAACAGAUUGUCCGGUGGCUUCUAACAGGGCGGGGAAAGGAGCUGUCGCGGCCGUGGUCAGGGUUGGCGGAGGAGGGAUCGUCGGGUAGCGAAGACCAGGCGGCGCGACUGUGUUCGAAGUGACGGAAAAGACGGGUGACAUCGGGCUCUGCGGCCGGGAUCUGGUGAUGUGAUGAUGGGCGCGGGAGGCGAGGCGUUGCAGAAAGGUCGCAGAGGGGUUUCCGCUACCAUUGGGGAAGGGGGCGCGAGAAUCCAUUCGGUCGCGGGCCAGAGAUGAGGCUGAGCGGCGGGCGUCGGAGAAGAUGAGCCACGCGGCGGGGAGACUCUGAAGCGGGCAUGCAACUCGAGUGCGCCUGUCGCGGAAGAUCUGGGGGAAAAAGAUCUCGCGGGUCCACCGGUCAGAUAGAACGGACGUUUUGGGAGGACUUAGAAGGAUCCAACGGUGAGCUGGGUUUGGCGGGGUCGGAACCGGAGCAAAGCGGGGAGGGGUCGGGUCUCAGGGGUCAGGACCGGUCGGAAGGUUGAACACUUAGGCGCAGAAAACUCGACAGUGCUCAGGGGCUAGGAUUUGGAUUAACUUGGAAGAUUUGGGGGCCGGUCGUCACAGCCUACCCCUCUUAAAAGGAAUCUCAUCCCGAGAUUCAGGUAUCAAGGGGGUGUGCUGUGCUUACCUCCAUGACGAGAUAGAAAACCUGGGAAGUGCUUGUUCAGAUACUCGUCUGUUUCCCAUGUUGCUUCAUCUUCGGUGUGGUUUCUCCAGAGGAUCUUGUACAUUUUGACCAUUUGGCGCCGGGUACACCUCUCUUUCUGGUCAAGAACUCGGUCUGGGUACUCAGCGUAGGUUAGGUCGGGCUCAACCUGAAGCUGCUCUUGCUCUAAGAUCUCGGUUGGAACUUGGACACAUUUCUUCAGUUGAGACACAUGGAAAACAUCGUGUAUGGCCGAUAGCUGUUCUGGGAGUUGGAUCCGGUAAGCAACGGGUCCACAAAUCUCCACAAUCUCAUAAGGGCCAAUGUAGCGGGGAGCCAACUUGCCUUUCACUCCAAACCGUUGUACUCCUUUGGUCGGGGAGACUCGAAGAUACACCUGGUCACCAAGGUCAAACUGUAGGGGCCUUCUUCGCCUGUCGGAAUAAUUCUUUUGUCGAGAUUGGGCAGCCUUGAGAUUUGCUUGGAUUACCCUUACCUACUCUUCGGCUUCUGCCACUAAGUCAGGGCCAUAGAUCUGUCUUUCUCCUGCUUGGGACCAGUUCAAGGGUGUCCGACAUCUCCGGCCAUACAGGGCUUCAAACGGUGCCAUCUUCAAACUGGCCUGAUAGCUGUUGUUGUAGGAGAACUCUGCCAAGGGCAGGCACUUGUCCCAAUUCUUGUCAUAAUGGAUGACACAAGCUCUCAACAUGUCUUCAAGGAUUUGAUUGACUCUUUCGGUUUGACCAUCAGUUUGAGGAUGAUAUGUUGAGCUACGGAUGAGCUUGGUGCCCAUGGAUGCUUGUGACUGUUCCCAAAAGCGUGCCACGAACUGAACUCCUCGAUCAGAGAUGAUGGUCUUGGGUACACCGUGUAGGGAAACUAUGCGGUCGAGGUACAACUCUGCAUACUGCUUGACUGUGUGGGUGGUGCGGACUGGAAGGAAGUGGGCGGUCUUGGUCAGGCGGUCCACUAUAACCUAGAUGGAAUCAUAUCGCUGUGAGGUAAGGGGCAGUCCAACUAUGAAGUCCAUGCUGAUGUCUUCCCAUUUCCAAGAGGGAAUAGGUAGGGGUUGCAGGGUACCCGCUAUCUUUAGAUGGCUGGCUUUGACACGCUGACAGGUGUCACAUUUUGAAACAUACCGGGCAAUUUCCGGCUUCAUUCUACUCCACCAAAAGGUUUGACGGAGAUCAUGGUACAUCUUAUUGCUGCCAGGAUGGAUAGAGAGCUUGGAGAGAUGAGCUUCGUCUAGGAUCUGUUUCUUAAUGUCGGGGUCGGCUGGUACAACCAGUCGAUCUCCAUAAUAUACGCCUCCAGUUUCGUCCUGCCGGAAUUGCUUAUAUCCUUCAUCCUUUAAUGAGAUCUUCUUGAUGAUCCGCUUUAUUUCCUCAUCCUCCACUUGUGUUGACCGUAUUUGGUCUUCCAAAACUGAGUCAAGGGUGAUGUGGCCAAGGGUUCCAUGGGGAAUAAUUUCCAAACUGAGUUUUCCCAUCUCAUGACACAGAGUCUUGGUGAAAGCUGUUACCAACAAGCAGUUGCAAUGGUUCUUGCGACUAAGAGCAUCGGCCACCACAUUAGCUUUGCCGGGAUGAUAGUGAACUUCCAAGUCAUAGUCUUUUAUCAACUCCAACCAUCUUCUUUGGCGCAUGUUGAGGUCGGCUUGAGUGAAGAUGUACUUGAGGCUCUUGUGGUCGGUAUAGAUGUUGCAGUGGGUGCCCAUCAGGUAGUGUCUCCAUAUCUUUAAGGCAUGUAUCACUGCUGCUAGCUCAAGGUCGUGGGUUGGGUAGUUCAGCUCAUGAGGUCGUAAUGCUCGUGAGGCAUAGGCAAUGACUCGGUUGUCUUGCAUAAGAACACACCCAAGUCCAGUGCCAGAGGCGUCACAGUACACGUCAAACGACCUAGAGGGGUCAGGUUGAGCCAAAACUGGGGCUGUGGUCGGCAGGUGCUUCAGGGUCUUGAAGGCUUCUUCACACUUGUCGUUCCACGCGAACCUGACCUCUUUCUUCAACAACUCAGUCAUGGGCUUAGCUAUCUUAGAGAAAUCUGGUAUGAAGCGCCGAUAGUAGCCUGCCAAUCCAAGGAAACUCCUGAUCUGGUGCACUGAGGCGGGAGGCUUCCAUUCUAUAACUUCCCGUACCUUACUAGGGUCGACGGCUAUACCAUCCUUGGAGAUAGUGUGUCCCAAAAACUUGACGCUAUCUAACCAAAACUCACACUUGGAGAACUUGGCAUAAAGUUGGUGAUCUCUCAGCCGUUGGAGAACUACAUGAAGAUGAUCGGCAUGUUCUUCUUCGCUCUUUGAGUAUACGAGGAUAUCAUCAAUGAACACCACCACAAACUUGUCCAGUUCGGGCAUGAACACCGAGUUCAUGAGGUACAUGAAAUAGGCGGGUGCAUUGGUGAGUCCAAAGGACAUGACCAGGUACUCGUAUAGUCCAUAUCUGGUAGAGAAGGCUGUCUUGGGUACGUCGCAUGGUCGGAUCUUGAUUUGGUGAUAACCCGAACGAAGAUCAAUCUUGGAGAACACCUUUGCUCCAGCUAACUGAUCAAACAAGACAUCAAUGCGUGGCAGUGGGUACUUGUUCUUGACGGUCACAGCAUUGAGGGGUCGGUAGUCCACACACAUGCGUAGACUGCCAUCCUUCUUCUUCACAAACAGGGCAGGGCAACCCCAAGGUGAUGUGCUGGGUCGGAUGAAGCCUUUUUCCAACAGAUCAUGCAACUGGGUCUUCAACUCGGCCAACUCAGCAGGUGGCAUCCGAUAAGGUCUCUUGGAUAUCGGUGUGGUGCCAGGGAUCAACUCGAUGGAAAACUCCACCUCUCUAUCAGGUGGCAUGCCAGGCAAGUCUUCGGGGAACACGUCAGGGUACUCACAGACAACAGGGAGGUUUUCUAGACGGGCUCCCGACAAAGGGUACACACAAGGAAGUGCAGACUUAGAAUGUUUCAAGGAUAGGGUAGGUAGAACUGCCAUGGAAGGGUGAGUUGAUGUAGAGAGUUCGGGCGGCUGUGUCUAGAACCACUUCAUGUCGGGCCAUCCAAUCCAUACCGAGAAUGACAUCUAUGCCUUCUAGGUCAAGGAGGAUAAGGUUUUCCUUGAAAAGGGUUGGGCCUAGCUGGAGAGGUACAAGGGUAACGAUCUGAUCCGAUGCUAUCUUUCCUCCCGGAGUGGUGAUCACAUAAGGUUCCUUAGUGUGACCGACAUCCAGCUCAUAUCUUUCUCUAGCCUUACUCCCGAUAAAGCUAUGAGAGGCUCCCGAAUCAAACAACACAACAACAGCUUGAUGUAAAACAAGGAAAGUACCCGUCAUUACUGGCGCACCUUCGGGGAGCUCGGUCAAGCUGGUGUAGUUGAGUCUGCCUUGUCGGACUUGCACCUUGGGCCUUCUGCCUCUAUUUGCCAUGGGGUUCUGACUUUGCUGCUGAUUCUUGUUCCGGGGGCAGUCCUUAGCAAAAUGCCCUUCAUUGCCGCAGGUGAAACAGCGGCUACUAGCUGCAGGGCGGGGUGGUGCUGGUGGAGUCAGCCGAGGCACCUGUGGUUAGAAGCCGGGAGAACGGGGCGCUGCUGCUGGUGGGGGUCGGGCAAUCCACCUUCCCGACUGCUGGGGUCGGCCGGGGGCUUGUGGAGGAACCAUCCGGAACCUUCGGGUUGGCUGGCUCGGAAAUGCCACGGAGGCCUUCCUCUUCUGGUCGGCUUUGAGAGCCUGCAUGCAAUCCUCUUGAGAGAUGGCCAGAUUGACCAACUUGUUGUAGGUGUCCACCUUGAUGGGGUUCAACCUUUCCCUGAGCUCCAAGCUUAGUCCUCGGCGGAAUCUGUCCCGCUUCUUCUCGUCGGUGUUCGCGUGAUAGCCGGCAUAACGGCACAAGUCGUUGAAAGCUUGGGCGUAGUGCAGCACAUCUCGGGUUCCCUGGGUAAGGGCCAAGAACUCGUUGAGCUUGCGCUCCAGGAGGCCUUCCGGGAUGUGAUGCGCUUUAAACGCGGUCUUGAACUCGUUCCAGCUGACCACAUGGUCAGCCGGCAGCAUGGCAUGGUAGUGGUCCCACCAGAGCCGUGCGGAGCCACGCAGCUGUUGGGCUGCGAACCGGGCCUUAUUAUGGUCGGGGCACGGGGCGGUGAGAAGCUCGAACUUGGAUUCGAUCGUACGAACCCAGGCGUCAGCAUCGAGCGGUUCUUGUGUCUUCUGAAACAAAAGGGGCUGUGUCCCCACAAAGUCCUCAUAGCGAGCCACAUGCGGCUGCUGCUGAGCCCUUCCACCAUGGGGCUGCUGCUGUUGUCCUUGUACAAGAUGCCUUAGCAGCUCGGUUUGAGUUGCUAGGAUUGCCUCUAGUGGAGAUGAGGGCGGGGGCGAGGGAAGAUCCUGUCGCUGUUCGCUGCUGCCGGGCACAGAACCAGAUCUGGUGCGAUGCGCCAUCUGCAAGAGUUAGCGUUCCAUUAAAUUCCAAAACUUAGAAGUACUCCAAUAGAUGGAACGCAUGAGUUAAAUUAUCCAAUGCAACUCUUGCUGAUAACGCAACACACGUCCCCAUAGGGAAGAUACACUCCUUUCAUCCUCAUGUUAGCUAGCGUUUAUCUUAGCCUUGUACUCAACUUCGGGCGAAUCAUACCCUACCCAGACUCCUAUAAUCCAACUUAAGCCACGGGGUCAGGCGAGGCGAUCCUCCCAAGAAAAAGGGUCAGCAACGAUCCACACUAAGAAGGGGUCGGACGAGGCGGAGACUGCCUCGAGGGGUCGGCGCAUCCGAUCUCGCAUACCGGGGUUAGCCAACUUGAACAGACCCUCAGAAAAAACAGCGUGUGUGGUCGUGGCUCAACUCACUUAGUCUAACAUUCCAACACUUUGCAAGAGUUAGAGGUCAGACUCAGGAAUUGACUUCAUAUACAGCGGUGUUCCAACACAGGGAAUACUCGACUCAAGGCUAACCUAUUACAAUCCUUUCCAAAAUUUAGGCUGCCGAGUAGUACAACAAGAGAAUGAGUCCCUGGUAACUCUUAAUCUACAAAUGGACACUAUGAGUAGGAGAAGGGGCGCCGUCUUCUUCGAUAUCCAUGCUGGACGCUUCCUCAUCCUCCUCGGGGUCCUCUUGAGCUUCGAGAUGCAUAUGGAGGGCAUGCAUAUCGUCGAGCUCAGCUUGAUGCUCCUCCAAGUGAGCAUUGGCAACCGCCAGCUCCAUCUCUAUUUCCAUCUUCUCCUCUGACAGCUCGAUCAUGCCGUCCACUAGGUCAGCUACUUCGCCUUCGAGCUCGGAGAUCCGGUCUUGCAUGUCGUGUAUCUGAAUGCCUCUUUGGAGAAGCUGGUAGGUUUGGCCUACCAGGUCUCUUCUGGCUGACUGGAGGUAUCCGUGAGCAUCCGCUGCGGUCCGGGCAAAGAUGGUCAUGGCUCUUCCUUGAAGCUCGAUCAGCCGAUAGAGGGCUGUCAUGCAUCUGACGUUGGUGGAGAUGGUGACCAUGGAGUACGUGGUGGCUAGCACCUCAAUAUUUCCGACGCGGUCGAGCCACGCCGGAUCCAACUGGUUCCUGGCGGGGAACAGGCCGAUAGGGUCUAGCAUGACCUCCAGGGGAUGCAGCUGAUAGAACUGGGUGAGAAGCUGAAGAGCGGCGGACUCCCAAGUGUCCUCCGGAGCAAGGCCAUAUGCUGAUAUUCCGAAGGAGGGCAAGUCGGGCCGCACAGGAGGAGGAGGUACCACCGCCUGUACAUUGCACGUCUGGAUGCCCUGCUCCAAAUACAGUCGUCCGGCGUACAAUGGUGGGGACUGGUACCCGAACCAUUUCAACGUGUCCCACAAAAUCGCGGGGAAACCCUCGAAAUGCAGACAGGUUGACUGGAAAGUACCAUCCGCUCCAAACAAAACAUGCCCGGGGACGACCAUCUGGAACCAAGAACCAAAACCACGUGAGAUAGACUCCAAGGGUCAGGGGUCGGAUAGAGAAGCAUUCGGCUUUAACCGAGAACAACUGAAGAAACUAGAAAUCCUUAGAACCGAAAAAGAGCUCUUCCGAGCAAGGUUGCUUUUGAGAAGAGUACUUUACAGAUUUCUGCUUAUGACACAUGCACGGCCUACCUUACUCUUAACCAAAACAACUGCCCGAAACCUGGGUCUUACGUGGUCAGUGCUGGUGGCAAGGCAACAAGUACGUCUCUCCCUAUAAUAGCUAGUCGAUUCUAGCAACGUCUCUUAAGCGAACGCGGUUAGUGUACCUGCAGAAAACACCAACACACGAACCUUUCGUGCCAGCACCCACGAAAGCGUUCCCAAACAUUACCGCUCACUAUAGGAAUGGCACCCAUGCGUUUAAGGCUGCAUGGACAACACUCAACCGUGGAGAUAGGUUCCCUUUGAAUGGAACCGUAUAACCCUUCGUAUACUCGUGAUGUGGAAUCAGCACACGUAUGAUAGACGUGGCGAAUCAACCGUGCUGAUAGGUUCGUUGGAAUCGAACCAUACCAACCUUCGUAUGGAUUACAUAUGGAACCUGCGCACGUGUGAUAGACGUGGGCGAAAACAACCACGAUGAUAGGGUCCCUUGAAUAGAACUCCCUAUCAACCUUCGCACACUCGUGAUGCGGAACUCGGCACACGUAUGACAAACGUGGCGAAGUGCCGGAAGGGUUAGCAAGAUAACCAAAUAAAAUAUUAGCCACCUAAAACAACCCAAAAUCCCCUAGGGCCUCUCGCACUAAAGUCAUCCUUAACGGUCAUACGAGAUUUUUUUCAAAAAGUUUCUUGCAACUUUUAUCUUUUCAAGAAGUGUUAGGGCUUGUUGUGUUCUCUGUACUGCUAAACCGGCUCUGGUACCAGCUGUGGCAGAUCCACUUCGGAUCUACUUGGUUAAACAUGAUUUAGCCGCCUGAUACGCGACGCUCAUGCCUAAGCCGAGUAAGCACGAAGUGCCGUCGGAUUUCCUCCGAUUUAACCACUUAAACAGGACCAUUUUAGCAGACCCACACGAAGGUGAGCGGUUCCAGAGAGUACAACGAGUCCACCGAGUUAAUAACUUAACCACUUAGUUUGAUUAUGAAAUAAACAUCAGAGUUUACAAGCUUUUCAGAAGGCAACGGAAAGUAAAACCACUAGCGGAAGCAACGUUGGGGUCGGACAUCCCUAGCGAGGCCAGCCGGAACAUCAUUGAUCCCUCUCCUCACCGUCCGAGGAGGGAUCCCACUCGACCGUCCAACCCGGAGGGAGCUGGGGUGGCCAAGUGCCAGCAGGAGAAGGGUCGGGAGCAGCAACAACACCUGAAAAACAGGAGCCACAACAAGGCUGAGCUACUAAGCUCAACAAGACUUAACCGACAGGAGUAAGGCUACUCCACACUUCUAGACAUGCAAGGCUUUAUGGCUGAGGGGUUUGUUUGCCAAAAGCACUAAGUAAAACCCUAUUUUCAAGUUUUAGCUCCGGUUCUAAGUUCAUUAACCGGUCUAGGUUUUGCACCCUAUUCUAAGCAAUCAUAGAACCAAAACAAGGUAUGUAUAUAUGUCAACAAAACCAUGUCAUCAUCAGAUUCCUCAUUUACUCAGGGUGACAUAGCGAUCAAGCAGUCUCAAACUGUGAGAGGCAGACGAAUCGAUUCGAGUUCUUUAACCAUGCAUGGUGAACCUAACCUCACGACAUCCGCGCACCCAGAGGUCGCUUCCUGUGUCGGCCUUCCCCAUCAAUCCCCUAACCCGUGUCGGGCCCAUUUACUUUGGUGCAAGGUUUCACAGACCCGGCCUCUACCGUUCUGUGACCACGCUUGCCACCACGUGCGACAACCAGCAGGGGAAACUCCGUUCCAAGAACAAUGGGGCGACCGCUCACGUCUAGGUUCAAUCCGGUACUAGGCUUCCUCAUCCCAUACUAAGUAUGAAGUUUGCCCCUAAUGCCGGGAAAUGGUCCUCAUUAAUAUAUGCAGUCGACGUAUCGGGUCGCGAAUAAGUCCCCUGUAAGAGGCUCGAGGUAUUUGAUAAUUGAUGGAGAUUGAUAUCCCACAUAGAUACCAAGUUUCCUAUGUGGGCCCAUAGAAGUACGCUUAGGCAAUGAGAUCGGUACGUAUACAACGCAACCGAAUUUUCACAGAUAGGAAAUAUUUGGCAUAUUCCCACGUACUAAUUGCAAUGGGGACUGCAUGAUACGCAGUUGGUCGCAAUUGUAUUAAGUCAGCAGCGUGUAAGACUGCAUGACCCCAACUUGAGGUUGGUAGGUUGCAAUUUUGUAAUAACAGUCGUGCAAUGGGUUUAAUUCUUUUAAUAAGAGAUUUUGCUAAACCAUUUUGUGUAUGGACAUAUGGGACAGAGUGCUGAACUUGAAUUCCCAAAGCCAUACAAUAAUCGUUGAAAGCUUUUGAGGAAAAUUCAGCAGCAUUGUCCAUUCGAAUUGAUUGAAUUUGAUGUUCAGGAUUAUGUGCUCUAAGUCUAAUAACUUGAGCAAUAAUUUUUGCAAAUGCAUGGUUACGAGUGGAUAAAAGACACACAUGAGACCAUCUAGUAGAUGCAUCUAUUAGAACCAUGAAGUACCUGCACGGUCCAGACAGUGGUUGUAUAGGGCCACAAAUAUCUCCUUGAAUACGUUCAAGAAAUUUUAGUGGCUCAUUUGAAUCUUAGCGGUCGAUGGCUGUACGAUCAAUUUUCCUGUAGCGCAUGAAGUGCACAUAAAAUCUGAAGAUUUAGGGAAUUUAGCAGUAUUUAACUCAUGACCAUUAGAAUUGCUGAUAAUUUUUUGCAUCAUCCCCAUACUAGGAUGGCCAAGGCGAUCAUGCCAAGUUUUGAAUGCGUCAAUAUUCGGAAAAAUUACCUUAUGCGCAACAUGUGGUACGGGUUUAAUGUAUGUAUAGUACAAUCCGGAUGAAAAAGAGGGAUUUUUUUCAAUAAUUUGUUUGCUAUAUCCGCUAUUUUUAGUAAUGAGGAGAAUUUCCUCAUUAUUGUCAUCACAUGUUUCUAUAUGAAAACCAUUUUGACGGAUAUCUCUAUAACUUAACAAGUUACGCUUUGAGUCAGGAUAGAAUAAUGCAUCCUCAAUUGUAAUUUGGGUACCCAUGGGGAGUACAACAGUGGCACUAUCAGAGCCAAUUAUUGUAGCAUCGCGUCCUGCGACUGUCAAAACAUUUCCUUGUCUUUUUGUAAGAGUUUGGAAAUACUUUGUUUCUCUAAGUAUAGAAUUAGUGGUACCACUAUCCACGAGGCAUAAUUCCUCCUCCAUCAGAUUGACCCCCAUAGGAACGUGGGUUGUUUAGGAGCAUUCGCAUGUUAGUUGUUCUCUAUUCACGAGCGCGUUGAUAACGUGUUGAAUGUGAAUGUAAAAUGAACAGAGAUUUGGGAACUCCUUUGUGUUUAUUGAUCUCUUUGGAUUAUAUACAAGUGAACAGCCGCGUUGUAUGGACGUGACUGUUCGGGAAAAGGUAACUGUUCAAUGGAACAAUCUACUAACGAAGGGACAUGUCCUUCGUAGUGCUAACUGCUUAUACUAACUAACUGCUAAUUCUCUUCCUCUGUUGAUGAGAUCACUGAGUAUAGAGAGGUGUCUGUUAGGAACAGACACACCGUUUCGUAACACAAACCAUGUUGGCGGAUGAUUGCCCGCUGAAGCCGCUAUAAGAAGACAAAUGACCAUAAUCACAUAAAUAAUCAAAAUACAUAAAAGAAAAUAGAGAAGGAAGAAAAUUGCAGCAUAUUCAGUUACAAAUAUAGACAAUGUUAUAAAUCUUGAAGUCUCAAUGACACGAAUUAUUACAAAUUAGUUCCAUCCACCAUGUUAUCCAGAAGAGGUCAAAUUAAACUACUACUAGGAAUGUCAAUUUACGACAAUACUGAAUUGCUGAAGCUAUCUGACAGAAAUGUCAUCUCCUUCAGUUGCGUCAAGAUGUGCUCCAUAUACUCCCGCUGCCAGUUAGACUCACGAUAUCUGGAACUUCUUCCCAUGCCCAUAAGUUCGAAUGCAUUCCAUAGAAACAAUCUCAUCAACCACCAUGAACCUUAUAUGUUCGAUCAAAGCCACUCGUGAACUGGUAAAUAAUCUGCAUAUGUCCUAAAUUUGUGCAGCUAUUUUUUGCCAAUGGUUAGGUAAAAGUUAGAAUUCAAGCAGCUAUCAGUGUGCAUCUGAAAGUUAGCUGGCAGUAGAUGUUGACUCGAUGCAAGUUUACCAUCUGGAUGUCAACUGAGACCUUGCCAUGGAAUUGACAGGCUUGGGAUGUGCAAAUGAACCAGAAGCUCAAAGAUGAAAUUUUCAGUCAAGAACUCAAGAUACUAUCAUCACAUUAUGCAACUACAAACUAUGGAGCUGCAACUUAUCACUACAAUAGAAAAGGCACUGAAUAGAAGGUCCUGUGUAACAAGAUAAAAUUGACUGAUCUUGCAACUACACACAAGAUGCCGAAUGAGAACAGAUACACGAGAACAGAAAGACUUUUGGAACAUCUUCUUUGACAAAAAUUAAUUUCUGGAACAUUCAACAAACACUUGACAUUGCCAUUUGCCAAUGUAACUCUUAGCUCUGAUAUCACAUAUUCUUAUUAAAAUUUGCUUAAGAUGUACUCCCUCCGUCCCAAAAAGAAUGAUUUUCGGGGAUUUUUCAGAUAGAUUAGGGGUGAAUGAAAAAGACGCAUGCACCCUUUGUUAGUUCAGUUUGCAUAUAGAAAAUGGAGAAAAUAUUUUUCCAUUUAAUGGUGCAUGUACCAUAUCAAUGCCACAAAUUAUGCAUGCAUAAGAUUCAAAUCCUAGAACGUCAUUCUUUUUGACAAUUUUUGAAUACUAAAACAUCAUUCUUUUUGGGACGGAGGGAAUAGUCGGUUAAAAAAGCAAGAUCCUGAAUCUUCAAAGUCAAUGGCAGAUUGGCAGUGUGGUAGUACUUAUUUCAACCAACCAAACAUCUCAAUCAAUCAAGAAAUCAUAAUGACAAGAUACCACCAUAACAAUAUAUAGGAAUUAUGCAUCAAGAAUUCUUACAACAACAACAUAGCCUUUCAGUUCCAAGCAAGUUGGGGUAGGCUAGAGUUGAAACCCAACAAGAGUCACAAAUCAGGGUUUGAGCACAUGAAUAGCUGUUUUCCAAGCACUCCUAUCUAGGGCUAAAUCUUUGGGUAUAUUCUAUCCCUUCAAAUCUCCUUUUAUUGCUUCUUCCCAUGUCAAUUUUGGUCUUCCUCGCCUCUCUUCACAUUACUAUCACGCCUUAGGGUUCCACUACACACUAGUGCCUCCGGAGACCUAUGUUGGACAUGUCCAAACCUUCUCAGCCGGUGUUGGAUAAGUUUUUCUUCAAUUGGUGCUACCCUUAAUCUAUCACAUAUAUCCUCGUUCCGGACUCGAUCCCUUCUCGUAUGACCACAAAUUCAACACAACAUACGUAUUUUCGCAAUAUUUAUCUAUUGGACACAUCAUCUUUUUGUAGGCCAACAUUAUGCACCAUACAACAUUGCAGGUCUAAUCAUCUUCAUAUAAAACUUGCCUUUUAGCUUCAAUGGUACCCUCUUGUCAUAUAAAAUUAUCCGAUAUGGUGUCGCUAAGAGGGUUACACCCCAACGGAUUUCUCUUGGGUUUCAUCUCCAUUAGAAUGGCUAGGUUAAACGUUGGCUCGCCAAGCCUAUCAUAACCCUCCUCCUUUACCAGGGCUUAGGACCUGCUAUGUUGAGACAACAUAGGCGGAGUUGCAGCAAGAAUUCUUACUGGUAAGAAAAAUUAAGGCACCAUACCUAAAUACUAUGAAUUACAUGCUAACACAAACAAUGUCCGCAGGUUAGAAUUGUAAGUUAGAAUUAACAAUGAAACAUAAAUAGUUGUAAGAUUAGAUUAAGCAAGGACGCAUUCCGCAGGUUGAAAAGAGCAAGCAAGCACGCAUGUGAAAACUGGAACUGAAAGAGGCAGGUGGGAGCGUUACGGCCCAAACAUUAGUGAUGCAGUCCUUCAUGUCGCUGCGGCGGCAGUCCCAGCAGAGCUCCUCGAUGGCCAGGAGCCGGCAACAGAGGUCGGCCAUGUUACACAAUCGCACUCCAUCAGGAAGACGCACUCGCGGAGGGUUUCUUCUCCUCCAGCAUCACUGUGCGCCUUCUUGUCCUCCUCGUCAUCCUCGCCUGGGGCUGGCAGCUGGACCAUCUAGAUGUGGUUGAUGUCAUGAUCCAGGCAGCGCUCCACCUCAACGUUCUCCUCCAUGUUGCAUUGUUGCUAUCACCGGAGCCGGAGUCAUCCUCGCUGGCGGCGCCCUCAGCGUCGGCUCGGAGGUGGUGUGGCGGAUCCACUUCGGAUCUACUUGGUUAAACAUGAUUUAGCCGCCUGAUACGCGACGCUCAUGCCUAAGCCGAGUAAGCACGAAGUGCCGUCGGAUUUCCUCCGAUUUAACCACUUAAACAGGACCAUUUUAGCAUACCCACACGAAGGUGAGCGGUUCCAGAGAGUACAACGAGUCCACCGAGUUAAUAACUUAACCACUUAGUUUGAUUAUGAAAUAAACAUCAGAGUUUACAAGGUUUUCAGAAGGCAACGGAGAGUAAAACCACUAGUGGAAGCAACGUCGGGGUCGGACAUCCCUGGCGAGGCCAGCCGGAACAUCACUGAUCCCUCUCCUCGCCGUUCGAGGAGGGAUCCCACUCGACCGUCCAACCCGGAGGGUGCUGGGGCGGCCAAGUGCCAGCAGGAGAAGGGUCGGGAGCAGCAACAACACCUGAAAAACAGGAGCCACAACAAGGCUGAGCUACUAAGCUCAACAAGACUUAACCGACAGGAGUAAGGCUACUCCACACUUCUAGACAUGCAAGGCUUUAUGGCUGAGGGGUUUGUUUGCCAAAAGCACUAAGUAAAACCCUAUUUUCAAGUUUUAGCUCCGGUUCUAAGUUCAUUAACCGGUCUAGGUUUUGCACCCUAUUCUAAGCAAUCAUAGAACCAAAACAAGGUAUGUAUAUAUGUCAACAAAACCAUGUCAUCAUCAGAUUCCUCAUUUACUCAGGGUGACAUAGCGAUCAAGCAGUCUCAAACUGUGAGAGGCAGACGAAUCGAUUCGAGUUCUUUAACCAUGCAUGGUGAACCUAACCUCACGACAUCCGCGCACCCAGAGGUCGCUUCCUGUGUCGGCCUUCCCCAUCAAUCCCCUAACCCGUGUCGGGCCCAUUUACUUUGGUGCAAGGUUUCACAGACCCGGCCUCUACCGUUCUGUGACCACGCUUGCCACCACGUGCGACAACCAGCAGGGGAAACUCCGUUCCAAGAACAAUGGGGCGACCGCUCACGUCUAGGUUCAAUCCGGUACUAGGCUUCCUCAUCCCAUACUAAGUAUGAGGUUAGUACUUUCAAACACUUGAUCACGAACACCACCACUGUCGGGCCUUAGCAAGUUUUCAUAGACAGACGGGGCGAUCAUCCGACCACCAAAGAGUUACCCAAACCCUGCCCCGUCCAUCAUCCUUACAGUUGUAACAGAAAGGUAGACAUCCAACUCCUACAACUCGCGAGUGACAGGGAAUCACUCGGCUUUUACCGUCUCCUAGUUAAGCAAGCAAGCAGCUACCCGGUCCAACAGCUAGUGUUCAGAUCAUGGGAGCUAAGAUAUGCAUCUAGGGUUCCAAACAACUCCUAUACGUAAAUGCACAAGCAUGUUACAGAAGGCAUGCGCAAGUCUGGUAAAACAACACAGAGUUUUCAUGCAACCGGGGCUUGCCUUCGAGCAAGGAGGAAAAGAACUGCUCGACUUCGGGGGCGACUUCGGCUUCUGGGGGUAGGAGCUCAGCUACACCGUCGUCUUCUGGCGUCGGGUGCAGCUCGUAGAAGCCGUCGGCGAGGCGCAGCUCUACACGAAUGCAAUGUAUUAGUUAGCUUAGACGGUUAUUUCAACAGCAACACUUGCAAGUCUGAGCCCAGAAACUCGCGACAAAGAGCAGGAGGGUGGGGAGGUUCAAGGGAGCUGGUGGAGAUCAAAGGUAAGGGUUGGGAAGAAACUUAUGAUCUGAUCCUUAAACUAGAGGAUGUGGUAUACUUGGGAUCCUCAGAUGCAAGCGCUGAAGGGUUCCUAAGUUUUGCACAUACACCCUCGGUUGAAGAAAAGAUCACAGCCGAGCCCUCGGGCGAGGCGGAUAGGGGUCGGCAGAACAGAUAGGGUCGGGCGAGACGGAACCGGGGUCGGGCGGAUAAGAGGGGUCGGGCAAAGCGGACUGGGGUCGGCAGCUUACCUUCUUCCUACAAGGAAAGCUUGGGGUCGGGAAGAAACAGACUUGGGCGGAGGGGCUAAGGCUUUGAAUCGGCGGCGAGGUCCGGCAGUGCUCCGGCGGUGGCGGUGCUUCUUGUGGAUCACAAGUGAGCUCUUACGCAGCACGGAGGAGCAAGCAGCUGGGUGGCUCGGGGAAAACGGAGUGGAGCGGAGAGGAGAGUUCCUCAAGAACUUAGCGGGUGGCGCUAGGAGCUUGAGCAGGGAGCAAGAGAAAUGGCGAAAGGCAGCAAUGGCGGAGGGAACUCCGGCGGGGCUCGUGCAUUCCCUUUUAUAGCGGCCGAGAAGGGAGAAAGGAAGCGGCGCGGGAGAGAGAAGGGGAGCGGCGCGAAGGCUGGGGAAGAAGCAAUGGAUUGCUCUGCCGGGGCGGCGAUUGAGCGACGAGGGCGGUGUUGCAGGACUUCGGGGAUGACGCCAGCGGUCAUUGGGCUCUGGCGUCAGGGCGGCGCAGGAGCGGGUAUGCCGGUGGUUGAGAUUUAGCGGAGGCGGGCGUCGUCGUGCGGUAGAUUUGAUGGAAGUGACCGGGUUAACGGUGCUAGAAUCGAGGGCGCACAGGUGAGAAGACAGGCAACCGCGGGCGCGCGGGCGAGCGCGGAGCAACAGAUUGUCGGGCGGCUUCUGACAGGGCGGGGAAAGGAGCUGUCGUGGCCGUGGUCAGGGUUGGCGGAGGAGGGAUCGUCGGGUAGCGAAGACCAGGCGGCGUGACUGUGUUCGAAGUGACGGAAAAGACGGGCGACAUCGGGCUCUGCGGCCGGGAUCUGGCGAUGUGAUGAUGGGCGCGGGAGGCGAGGCGUUGCAGAAAGGUCGCAGAGGGGUUUCCGCUGCCAUUGGGGAAGGGGGCGCGAGAAUCUAUUCGGUCGCGGGCCAGAGACGAGGCUGAGCGGCGGGCGUCGGAGAAGAUGAGCCACGCGGCGGGGAGACUCUGAAGCGGGCAUGCAACUCGAGUGCGCCUGUCGCGGAAGAUCUGGGGGAAAAAGAUCUCGCGGGUCCACCGGUCAGAUAGAACGGACGUUUUGGGAGGACUUAGAAGGAUCCGACGGUGAGCUGGGUUUGGCGGGGUCGGAACCGGAGCAAAGCGGGGAGGGGUCGGGUCUCAGGGGUCGGGACCGGUCGGAAGGUUGAACACUUAGGGGCAGAAAACUCGACAGUGCUCAGGGGCUAGGAUUUGGAUUAACUUGGAAGAUUUGGGGGCCGGUCGUCACAGGUGGGAGCCGAAGGGUAUAACGCGGAGGAGGAGAUGGGGGAGGGGAUGAGGCACGCCUGGAUCUCGUCAGAUUUGACGGCCAUGAGGGAGCACUUCUCGAGUGGUUCUUGGACUCAUCGGACUCGAUAUGUGGUGGCCGCGAAGGAGGUUGGGAUGGGCAGGAAGCGUGGCGUGGUGGUGGUGGGUGAGGUGGAGUCGUGGUGGAUGCGGCAACACGCGAGGCGGCGGCGGAAGGGAGGCGAGGCCCUCGCCUGCAAGUCUGGGAUCUACGGGCUACCUGAGUGUUUAUCCAACCCACUCUUGUAAUUAGCCUGCAACCCAUGGUUUGCAUCGCGUUACAAUCCGAUAAAACGAACCCCACUCCAAUACCUAACCAACCCACUCUAAUUGGCAGUCCAAACCAAACCUACCCAAUAACUUUUCAAUCCAUUACUCACCAAAUCAAUGCAGUUCCAUUCAAAAUCCGAUCCACUAAAACCAUUAACACCAGCCCAAUCAGCAGAGCUACUGCCAUCAAGCUAACCUGGCAAUGGGUGAUGGGGGUGUAUGACUUGCGGAAGCUAGCUAGUCAGCCCAUUAUAUCUAAUUAGCUAGCCCAUUAGGUCAAAUUAUAAAUCUAAAUCAACGUAUCAAUAAGAUAAUAUGAUAGAUUCAACAUUAUCAAAAAAUAGUCUAACAUCUAAGGUCCUAUUUGUUUGAGCUCUAUAUUUAAUACUCUAAAUUAGUAUGUAAAACAAUUGCACAGAUGAAAUCUAAUUCGCGAGACGAAUCUAUUAAACCUAAUUAAUUCAUGAUAGCACAUAUUUACUGUCAAAUCAUGGACUAAUUAGGUUUAAUACAUUCGUCUCGUGAAUUAGCCUCCAUCUGUGCAAUUGGUUUUUAAUUAGCUCAUGUUUAGUCCUCCUAAUUAGUAUCAAAAUAUUCGAUGUAACAGGGACUAAACUUUAGUUCGUGGAACCAAACACCCCCUUCAUCAAUGAUUAGUCCCUUCGAUUUUGGCAUUGUUUCUUGAUCGGGACAAGUCAUGGAACCCUUUGUUCUCUUUAAAACACUCUUGAUUUCUGUAAGGUCAAGUCAUGGAACCCUUUGUUCUCUUUAAAAUGCCUUGAUUUCUGUAAGGUCCCGUUUGUAUCCCUCCAUUUUAAAGGACUUAGAAUCUACUUAAUGAAGUAGGCUAAUUAUUUUAUAGGAAGAAGAACCGUCCCACUUUCCCUCUUGGAAGGAGCAUAGCAAUGUAGAACGUGACAUUCCACAACUUUCCAAAGUUCAGAUAUAACUCUAUCUUAAAUUCAUGGGGGUGGGAGAUGGAAAUUGAUUAUAUAGAUCCUCGUGCUAUGUUUCUAAUAUGCAACUUAUAGCACGCUCUUCAACUCGCUUCCCUAUAGCAGAAGUGCAUCACAUAAGUAUCUCUCCCGUAUGGCCAACAAUAAUAUACAAAUAUAUUCUACAUACAAUUAUAUUAGCUUAAUUAAUUUGUGUCUAAAUUAUGAUUAUUAGAAUGUAAUUCAAUUCCAAGGAUCCAAAAGGGGCGUAAGAUUAAUUUGUAUUUGAAUCUUGUGUGGCAUGGUUCCUCUAAUUUAGGAUUUGAGGAGGUAUUGAUGGUUUCUCCUUUAUCUUGAACGAACCACGCGAAGGAGCCACAGAUUAUAUUAAAACGAACUAGGCACUGGUGGUUUCCAGCAUCACCAAUUUUCAAAUUAGGCUUGAUCUAUGGAAUUUCAACUUUCCUUUUGAGGAAAUAAAUUGUAACUAGUUCGUGUUGUAUUUAAGUUCAGCAACUCUUCGGCGCAAACCUUCGGUGGUGACAUAAUUGGAUGGUUUCAAUGUUGCAAGUGCAAUUCUUGUAGAUUCUCAAAAAAGUUCUAUUCCAUGGCUAAGAAGGAAUAAAACCUCCAACAAUAUAGAAUCACGUCAUGUGAGCAGCACUGUUCCAGGAUUGCCCAUUCGACCUAAAUAUUACCUCAGUAACCCCAGCAGCAAUUUGAAGAACCCUCCAACCGUAAAGAGUUGCAGCAAUAUGUGUGAUUUCAUUUAUCAGCUGGUCAGAAGCGUUGAAAGGUCAGCUAGCUUAUAUUAACAUGGGUUUAACUAGUGCCAAAUGUUCCCUUUUGAAAGGAGAGUGUCAUGGCUACGCCAACCACAGCAUCAUGACAUCACCUGCUCCAUGUCGCGCAACCAAACCUGGUGAUGUAUAUGUUCCCCUUCCUCCCCCUAUGUGGAUCAAUGAGUGCUGCCAAUUUGAUCAAUCAGGUUUCAACACAUAAUGAGUGCCAUAGAAAUUUUGCUGGCAGCCAACUGAAUUUGAAUCCAUAGCUCAUAUAUUUGAUCAUGAAUUUUUUGUUUUGCCAAAGCAAGCAUAGGUGUUACUGAAGAGAAAAUGGAAUAUAAACCAAAUUUUCUUGUUUGCAUCAAUGCGUGUCAAUCACAAUAUUUUUGUUUCUUUUUUCCCGAUUCCCACAUUGACCUAAUUAUUAUUAGACUUUUAGGGGACAAAGGGUGAGAACUCUAGUAUCAGAGGGGGGAGGUGGUGCAGAGAUUUUGGGGAAAAAGGCUAAUGCCACAUGAAUUAGUAAGGAGAAAUCACUGUAGCAUUUUUAUCCAAUUUGAGAAUUUUUCCCUUAGGAUAGGAAUAAGGAUGUAGUGCCGGAAAGGAUGAUUUUGAAAAAAACAUAUGAAAAACGAUAAAAGAUGAGAAAUUCAUAAAAUAAUAAAAACAUUAUAGAAAUGAUAAAAAAACAUUAUAGACAUUCUUUGUAAAAGUGGAUGUUUUUUUAAAACAUUAUAACUCUACAUAUAUUCCUUUUGGUUGAAUCUUGCAUGUGUUUGUUUUUGGAAUCAAGUUGUUGAGUCAGCUCCAUCCCAUUUGGGUUGGGUUGGACCCAUAUCGUGUUUAGAUGAAAGGCAACUUAGUUUUUUUGUUUGAUUGAAGGGGUCAAGAGACGUGGGAUGGACACUAGUUUCACACCGUUAGCAACAGUUAUUAGUGGGCCUCACCUGUUAUCCGUGGGGCCAACUAGUCAGCCUCUUAUCUUCUGCCUUUUUUUUUCCUGUGACGCUUAUCUUCUUCCUCAUGUUUGCCUGCUCUGCCUCCUCACGCCGGCAUCGGAGCGCAUCCCGCCUACACCUCCGCGUUGCGCCGGCCGGCAACCCAGCUCCGUGUCCUCUCUUCCUCUUUCUCCAUGUCGCGCCGCCCGACCGCCCAGCUCCGCCUCCUCUCUCUCUUUCUCCGCGCCACCGCCAGCGGCCUCCUCGCCCCCCUACUCCGCCGCGCCCCUCAACCCCAGUGUCAACGGCCUCCUCAGCCCCUUGCUCCGCUGCCCCUCCUCGACCUAGUGCCGCCGGCCUCCCCCCCUACUCCGCCGCCUUCCCUCGGCCCAGCGCCGAUAGGCGGAGCCCAAGCUGGCCCUGACCAGCCGACGAAGGUCCCCUAUGCGGAGCCUAAGCUUGCCUCGACCUCCUCCGAGCUGUCUCUACUUGCUCGAUUUGUUGGUGACGGAGGAAACAACGAAGAUGACGGAGAUAAAGUGGGUCGGAGUGGUCUGACUGAUUUGGAGGAAUGCAACCUGAUUUGAAGGAAUGCAACCAACCCGUAUCUGGGAGAAUAUUCACUCCAGGGUCCAUCCCAACCUAGAUGAAUUUCAAACCAAACACUCAUAUAUCUGGAUCCAACCUAUUCCAACCCACUUCGACCCUUAAACCAAACACACCCUUAAUCUAUCUCAUCACACGCCUCCUUUUUUUUUAAAAAAAAAGGAUCAUCUUUAGCUUUCAUGGUAGCGUUAGUACAAGCAUUGUACUAAUGGUUGUUAGUUGUCGAGCAAGCCUUUCAUUUGAUGACUAUCACUACUCAUGAUUUUGUACAUAAUUAUAAAUUUUGACCUAUAAACCACUUGCAUUUGAAUCCAUAUGAGUAGGAGCGAAAAUGAGAUACACAACAUCAUACUUGGAAUAAUGGACAAGAAAUAGACAAAAAGGUGAAAAAUAAUGUGGAGGUAGCUGUUCCAGCAUAGCAAAAAUCGCAUUGAUUCCUUAGACAUGGAUCCUGCAAGCUAAAUUCUUUUCUAUGAUACUAAGACAAGUGACAACUGUGUAGCUUAAAAAAGAUUGUCUGAUAUGUGUUUUUAAAUAUUGCUUAAUCUAGUUGUUGGAUUACGAUUUUAUUUAGAAACUACUCCGUACCCAUAUAAUUUGAUGGGAAAUUACCUGUCAUCGGCCCAAAAUAGUUGAACGCAUUGUUGACCUUUUGACACCUAAACCCUAUAAUCCAACCUACUUAGAAUCCAAAUUGACAAAUAGUCAAACAGAUACAAUAUGUGAUUCUAAAUAUUUGUCACGUUGAUUUUUAGAUACAUUGUUUGACCAUUCAUCUUAUUUAAAAAAUUAUAUAAAUAUCGUUUUGUUGCUUGUUUCGUCUUUAAGAUAUUUCAAGCCUUACUCGUAAAAGGAGAAAGCAUUUCAGGCCUCACUUACAUAUAUUUGUAUUUUUAUAUUAAAUUCUUUUAAAUAAGAUGAAUGUCACGAUAGAAGAACAAACCUUGUCUAUCUCCUCCACUGUCCACGAGUGCUCACAGCGAAACGCGGUUAGAGACUGAGAGUGGCCCCGCAGUUUAUCGCCGCCUGGCUCCUCCAGCGCCCGCUUCCUCCCAACCCCGCACAAAACCUCGCCGUCUGCGACGAGAUUUACUCAUCCACUCGUUAGUUUAAGUGUGAGGCCACCGCGUGCGGGGGGCGGCGGCGCGUGCGAGGUGAGCGCUCUAACCUGCGAUUUGGGACGGAGGGAGUACCAUUGCUGCCAGUGCCACCUCCCCCAAUCGCGGCGGCCAGUGAUCACAUCACCGAAACCCGCGGCCCUCGAGGAGAAAACGGCGGCGAUGAGGAAGGGCGCCGCGGUUGGCGCCGGCCCGGCUCCCGACCGGCGGCCCUCCUCGGAUCCACGCCCCCCCGGGGCCACCCCUCUCCCCGCCCCGCCGUUUCGUGCCGGAUUGCAGGCCCUUGGGCGGGCGCCGGUGCUGCGGCGGCGGGUGGGUUGGGGUUGGGGACUGUGGGGGCGGGGUCUGCGGCGGGUCCUGGUCGGGGGGCGUGGUCGGGCAGCGCGGGAUCUGAGCCGCCAUUGAUGGAUUUUUUUCGAGCGCUUGGUUUUGAUCGUCUUGGUACGCUCGCUGUUUCCUCCUCCUCGUCCUUCUUCUCGCCGCCGCCGCCGCCAUCCACCCACCCCACUCCACUCCACUCCUCUCUCUCUCUCCCGUAUGUGUAUGUGUGUAUGUAUGUUUGCACAUUCCACUCCCACUGAUCUCGAACCCUAGAUCGAAUCGAGGCUGUGUGCGGGCCAUUCUCACGAGCGGACGUCAAUUCAGGUCCCCAUCUCUACUGUGCCGCCUCGCCGCCGAUCCGUUGCCUUGCACCGGUGGCGGCAGGGGCUGGGAACUGUGUGGUGGCGCCUGACGCGACUGCCGAGUCGGGUUUUGGCCGGCCGCGGUCUACUGAUUCGCUACUCCGGAUGGAUGGAUGGAUGGAUGGAUCAUGGAUAGAUGCAAGGGUCCCGAAAUGGAGCUGAAAAACAUGGAGUGGAGCAGUCCAAAACAGGCCCUUAUUCUCUGUCCCAAUCAUUACUAUACAGCUGCUGCGGCAGCCACAGCGGUGAUCUCUUUAGCCUGCUGUUGCCUGUGUGUGCUGUGCUGUGCCUGUGAUCUGCUGACGGCUCUGCUUUGCUCUGAAUGUUCCUAGCCCUUCCGCUCCUCAUCCUCUCCACCUUGGUGGCAUCUGGAUGGGCAGUGCAAAUGGGAUCAGGAUAUGAGAUGAGAUGAGAUGCAAAAGAGGUGGAUUUUCUGACUUGAGUCAUGGUCAAAGUACCCAGUGUAAGUGAAAUUUUACUUAGGGUGACCAUAUCUGACAUUACCCGGACCUAUGAAUGGGGUGCUAAUGAGGGGCGAUGAUGUUCAACCUUUUCUGAAUUGCAUGCCAUUGAGCAAUCAAGGCAGCUGUGGGUAUCUAUCUAAUUUGAGCUGAUCUCUCCCCUCAUGAAGCCUAUUUAACCAUCUCUUAAUGUUUGUGGUUCUGUGCCUAGGAUGGUCAUUCAGAUAUGUGACAACCAGCGCAGUUCCACUUAUAUUAGGAUGAGUAAAUUGUGCAGAAAGAGGUGUGAGGGCUUGGCUUGUAUGAUCGAGCAAAGGCGAAGCUGAGCCCU